RNAcentral lists this long non-coding RNA (13044 nucleotides) under Daucus carota (carrot). RNAcentral describes it as "long non-coding RNA (DCAR_LNC001166)". Lineage: Eukaryota; Viridiplantae; Streptophyta; Magnoliopsida; Apiales; Apiaceae. The record is from RNAcentral.
GCGCAUUCAAAAUUUUAUAGAACUGGGAAGAAAUCAUUAAUACAAACUUGGUAACUUUAACCAUUGCUCAAACUUAUUGAGAUAAAACGGAACACAAUCUCGUAGCACAUGCCUCCUCUUCUGCAGUUCUAGUGAUAUGAUAUAUCUCAAGAGUCAUCUUUACUUUUGGUUGCUGGAUUGAAAGCUUCCUGCUCUGCACACGUGAGUAUUUCAUGUGGUCCUGCCUGCUCACGGCCAACACCCAUUAAGUCAAGGUAGUAUUGGUAAUGGGAGACGAUGGUGUUCAUGGCAUCGAUGUCACCUUGACCGCAUACCAUUUCCCCAUAAAGAAUAUUCAUGGUGGCACCGAAACCAGGAGUUCGCUUGGCUAAAGUGUCAUUCUUGGUGGGCUUCCAGUUGCCGACGAAAGCAUCAUGUGAUGAAGGCUGCCCCUUCUUGAUUUCGGUCAUCCACCUCCAGAUUGCUGCCUGGAAUGCAAGGGUAGCAUUCUGUUCAAUGUAUUCUGGAUGGUUCAAUAGAUCCACCUUUAGGGCCUCCCCAGCAGCGCCAUAGUUGACGUUCCUGAGCAGCCAAAAAGUUAUAAAUAUAAGCAACCAUAAUCUAAAGAUGUCAGCAGCACUCAAACAUUCUUUCUUUACCUAACAAGUAGCAAAUGACCUAUGAAUUCAAUAAGACAUAAAUUUCUUCGCGAACCACUAUGGAUACACGGGUCAGAAUUUACUAAAUUUUUAUUAAAUCUCUAUUUGAGUUGCAAAUAUAGUUGAGACAAUAGUGGCUAAAUGGGCAACUCAUCCUAUCAAUUAAGUACUCCAAUAUACCAGUAAUAAAUUCAAAUCAGCUACGCUUAAAACGUAAGAAUUAGGAGCACUGACAAAAGAAUCAAAUAAUACUUACCAGUAGAUAGGCAGAGCACCACGUCCGUAGUAUUCAGCCCCAGGAGCACAUGGGUAUGUGUACUUGUAUGAGUCAUCACAAUAUGAUUGGCUAGGACUUAAUUCUCUGUUGUAGCACAAACCCCAUGCCAAUGGUCCUCCAGUUGCGACUCCAUAACCACCUGCACAUUAAAUCAAUGCCAAAUCUUGCAACUUGUUUAUAGAUGGAUGAAAAUAACAAAAGAUCACUAAGAUAUUAGGCAACAAACAUAUUUAAGACUGAAACUCUGAAGGCAAUAUAGAUCGACCAAAGACUGUAAAUAAUUACAGACUAACUUAGGUACUGUUUGGCAUUGCUGUUGCAGAUAGCAACAGCAGCUUUUUGCUGAAAAACAGGUGAAAAACUGUUUGAUGUUGUAAUAUAUUAGCUAUAAAAGAACAACCGGAGAGCUACUAAAUUUAACAGAAGGAGGGUAAGAAGCUGAGCAUAGAAAGAAAGCUCGGGUGCAAUUUAUUCAUUCACUGAUGCAAGCUAUUUAUAGCAAAAGAUAGCACAAGAGCAUUAAAUGCAUUGUAACAUUUCUACUCCUAAAACCUAGCCUUACUAUUUUACCUUUGACUAUAACAAUCAAUUCACAACACUCCCCUUUGAUUGUUAUUGUACAUGGAUCAUAGAUUGCCUCAUUAAAACCUUAUCAAAGAAAAACCCAGUGGGAUAAAAACUUUGAUGAAGGAAAAAGAGUACAAUCUCCCCUUGGAUGAAAACAUCAAUCACUGAAGUUUUGCUGCAGCAGAUCUUUGAGUCGACGCAUUCCAAUGUUACGUCGCAGCUUUGCAAAUGUUGAAUUUGGCAACGAUUUUGUGAAUAAGUCUGCAAGGUUGUCACAUGAUUGAAUUUGUUGUACAUCGAUUUCACCAUUCUUUUGAAGCUCAUGAGUAUAGAAGAAUUUCGGUGAAAUAUGCUUCGUCCUGUCUCCUUUGAUAUAUCCUUCUUUGAGUUGAUCAAUGCAUGCAGUGUUAUCCUCAAACAUAAUAGUAGGACUUCUUGUGAUGUCUUGUAAUCCACACGAUUCUUGAAUAUUCUUGAUAAUAGAUCGUAACCAAACACAUUCUCUACUGGCUUUAUGAAUCGCAAUCAGUUCCGAGUGAUUUGUUGAGGUUGCCACUGUAGUUUGCUUCGUGGAUUUCCAAGAAAUGGCAGUACCGCAAUAUGUGAAUACAUAUCCAGUUUGUGAUUUGCCAAAAUGAGGAUCUGAUAGAUAUCUAGCGUCUGCAUAUCCAAUCAACUGAGAUGUCGAGUUUUCCGGGAAGAAUAACCCAAAAUCAAUUGUUCCACGAAGAUAACGAAAUAUAUGUUUGAUCCCAUUCCAGUGUCUGGCCAUCGGAGCAGAACUAAAUCGAGCCAAUAAAUUUACAGCGAAUGCAAUAUCUGACCUUGUAUUAUUUGCAAGAUACAUGAGUGCACCAAUAGCUCCAAGAUAUGGGAUUUCAGGACCAAGAACUUCUUCAUCAUCUUCUCGUGGUCGAAAUGGAUCUUUAUCUGGUUCUAAAGAUCUAACCACCAUUGGAGUAGUCAACGGAUGAGAUUUAUCCAUGUAAAAUCUGUUCAAGACCUUUUCUGUAUAUGUAGAUUGGUGGAGGAAAAUUCCUGAUGACAAGUGCUCGACUUGUAUACCAAGACAAUACUUUGUCUUCCCAAGAUCUUUCAUUUCAAACUCUGUCUUUAGAUAUAUGACAGCUUCAUCAACCUCUGUAGCUGUUCCUACAAGAUUUAAAUCAUCCACAUAUACAGCAAUAAUCACAAAACCAGAUUGUGAUUUUUUGAUAAAAACACAUGGACAAAUUUGAUUACUAAUAUACCCAUUCUUUUGUAAAUAACGACUAAGUCUGUUAUACCACAUACGACCAGAUUGUUUUAAUCCAUACAAUGAUCGUUGAAGUUUAAUGGAGUAUAUAUGACGAGGUUUCUUAAACUCGUCCAUUUUUAAUCCUUCUGGGAUUUUCAUAAAAAUAUCACUAUCAAGUGAUCCAUAUAGGUAUGCAGCAACAACGUCCAUAAGACGUGUUUCCAAUUUUUCUUUUGAUGCCAUACCUAAUAUAAAACGAAAAGUAAUUCCAUCCAUUACUGGCGAGUAUGUCUCGUGAUAAUCAAUGCCAGGCCUUUGAGAAAACCCUUGUGCUACAAGUCGGGCUUUAUAUCUCACAAUUUCAUUCUUUUCAUUUCGUUUUCUUAUGAAUACCCAUUUAUUCCCAACAGGGUUCACACCGAUUGGUGUUUGGACAACAGGUCCAAAUACUUCUCUUUUGCGCAACGAAUUUAAUUCUGUUUGAAUUGCGUCUUUCCAUUUUAGCCAGUCUUUUCUUCGACGGCAUUCAUCCACACUUUGUGGUUCAGGAUCAGAAUUUAUGUCGACAUCCAAUGCCGCAGAAUACACAAAUACAUCAUCGAUUAUGGCUUUACUUCGAUCCCAUAAUUUCAUAUCAUGCACAUAAUUUAUUGAAAUUUCAUGAUUGUUUAAUCCCGAAUCUUCAGGGACGGGAAUCUCUUCAGGAGAUAAUACCACUUCAGGGGUAUUUGCUUCUUCUGGAGCAUGUGCCACUUCAGGGGCAAUUUUCUUUGUUUUUCUUUUUCUUGGUGCAACAUCUUUUGCACCGACCGGUCUACCACGCUUCAGGCGUGGCUUUGAAUCUGUAACCAAUUCAUUUGUACUUGAUUUUUGAAUUGGUAUAUCUACUCUAGCUGGAGUAUUUACUGCAGGUAUAUGAGAUUUUAUUACAUUUCUAGAAUCGUUAAAUGCGUCAGGCAUUUGGUUUGCGAUAUUUUGCAUAUGGAUAAUUCUUUUAACUUCAAGUUCGCAUUGACCGGUACGUGGAUCUAGAAAAUGUAAUCCUGAUGCAUUCCAUGUUAUGUCAGGAUUAACCUUAUUCACAUGUUUAUCUCCCCCUAAGGGAGGAAACAAAGACUCGUCAAAAUGACAAUCUGCAUAUCGUGCAGUAAAUAAGUCUCCAGUUAGUGGUUCAAGAUAUCUAAUUAUUGAUGUCGAAUCAAAACCAACGUAGAUACCUAUUCUUCUUUGAGCUCCCAUCUUCGAUCUCUGUGGUGGAGCAAUAGGUACAUAUACAGCACUUCCGAAGAUUUUGAAGUGAGAAAUAUUAGGAAUUUGACCAAGUACCAGCUGUAGUGGAGAAUGUUGGUUAUAGGCAGUUGGUCUAAUCCUAAUAAGAUUAGCAGCAUGAAGUAUUGCAUGACCCCAAAUAGAUGUAGGUAAUUUGGCUUUCAAUAACAAUGGUCUUGCAAUAAGUUGAAGUCUUUUGAUAAAAGACUCGGCUAACCCAUUCUGUGUAUGUACAUGAGGAACUGGGUGUUCAACUGAAAUUCCUACAGACAUGCAAUAGUCGACAAAGGUUGCAGAUGUGAAUUCGCCGGCAUUAUCUAAACGAAUCGACUUGAUACAAUGGUCUGGGAAUUGAGCUCGCAACUUGAUUAUCUGGGCAAGUAAUUUUACAAAAGCAUCAUUACGAGUUGAAAGAAGACAAACAUGAGACCAUCUAGUUGAGGCAUCUAUUAGUACCAUGAAGUACCUAAAUGGACCAGAUGAUGGGUGGAUAGGUCCACAUAUGUCGCCUUGGAUCCUUUCUAGAAAACUUGGACUUUCAAGCUUAACUUUAGUAGGAGAUGGCCGAGUAAUCAGUUUUCCUAAAGAACAUGCUGAACAUGGAAGGUCAUUUUUGGAAAGAACUUUAAGAUCUCUAAGAGGAUGUCCAGUAGAAUUUUCUAUAAUGCGACGCAUCAUAGAGACUCCGGGAUGACCUAAUCUCUCAUGCCAAAGGGUAAAUGAUUUUGGAUCUAUGCGUUUGGAAGCAAUGACAUUGUGUGACUCAAUGGUUCUGAUUUUCAUCAUAUAUAAUCCUGAGGAAAGUGAGUGAAACUUUUCUAAGAUUUUCUUGUUGCUAGAAUUAGCAGAAGUAAUAAGGAGAUAUUCUUUACCAGCCUCAGAAGUGGUUUCAAUGUGAAAUCCGUUAAGUCUGAUAUCUUUAAAACUAAGAAUGGCAACGAUUUUGUGAAUAANUUUGAUUUUGUAGAAUCGUAUGAGUUAUACCACAAUCAGCAAUGCAUAUAUCUUCAGAAUCCAUUCUGUAUAUAAUUAAGAAACAUAAUUUAUUUGAUAAGAACAUAACACAUUACAUAGAUCAAAUAAAGCACACAGUACACACUAGUAACUAUAGUAAUUCGGACCAUUGAUGCUCAUUCCUCCAGUUGAUAAUAAUUUUAUGAAACUAAUCCUCAGCCUCCCACAUGGGAGUUUCGUUAGACUCAUUAGGACCAUUAACGCUUAUUCCCCCGGUUGAUAUUAUAAGAGAAUCAUCUAAGUUGUUAGCGAAAUUGGUUUCCACCAUUUUUCCUUUCGAUCUUUUAGAUGACUGAUAUAAAUCAACAAGAUGUUGUGGGAUAUAACAAUUACGUGACCAAUGCCCUUCCAUUCCACACUUGUGACAUAAAUUGUCAGUUUUCCCUCCUUGUGGUGCCUUUCUUUUGCUCUGUGUUUCAGGUUGCCACUUCUGGUGACCAGAGCUAUUAUAAGGACGAAAAUGCCCACGACCACGGCCUCGUCCACGGUAGCGACCAUGGCCUCGUCCACCUCUAUGCCCUUUUCCACGUACAUUCUGCUGGAAUGUCGUGUUAUUUACUUCUGGUAAAGGGGCAGAUCCCGUUGGACGGGAUUGAUGAUUCUUAAUCACCAAUUCAUGAUUCUGCUCGGCAACAAGGAGGGUUGAAAGGAGAUCCCCAAACUUGGUAAACUUGCGCUCCCUGUACAUCUCGGCUAAGUUGAUAUUAUUGGGAUGAAAAGUGGAUAAUGUUUUGUCGAUCUUUCUUUUCUCAGUAACAAUCUCACCACACAUAAUGAGCCUAGAACUUAUUUUGAAUAGGACUGAGCUAUAUGCCCGAACACUCUUAAAAUCUUGAAGCCUUAGAUUAGCCCAAUCAUUUUCAGCUGCAGGUAGAUAAACUAGUUUCUGAUGAUCGAACCUAUCCUUUAGAUUUUCCCAUAAAAUAAAGGGAUCCUCGACUUCUAGGUACUCAGAUUUUAAAUCUUCAUGCAUGUGGUGUCGGAGAAAAAUAAUAGAGGUAAAGUUUUCUUCGAUCGUGGAUGUGUUUUCUGCCUUUAUUGUGUUGCUUAAUUUCUUUGAACCCAAAUGCAACUUUACAUCUUGUACCCACGAUAGAUAAUUCUCCCCAGAAAUGUCCAAUGCAACGAACGACAAGUUUGUAAGAUUUGUCAUUAUAAUCUUCUCAGUUCCGGCAGGGCUUCGUGCUGAUAACGUGUUGUAAUAUAUUAGCUAUAAAAGAACAACCGGAGAGCUACUAAAUUUAACAGAAGGAGGGUAAGAAGCUGAGCAUAGAAAGAAAGCUCGGGUGCAAUUUAUUCAUUCACUGAUGCAAGCUAUUUAUAGCAAAAGAUAGCACAAGAGCAUUAAAUGCAUUGUAACAUUUCUACUCCUAAAACCUAGCCUUACUAUUUUACCUUUGACUAUAACAAUCAAUUCACAACAUUUGACAAAUUAUUAGAGUUGGUAAUUUAUUGAAGAACCGAAAUUUGCCAUUUUUAGUUAUACAAAUCAAUAUUAUUCAAGAAUACAAUCAAUCACAAGACAAAUGUUUCUAGAAAUGUAGAAGUCAGAGGAAUGUGUAUGCCAGCUGUUUUUGCUAGAUAUAAGAAAAUAUGAAUAUGUUGUCUUCUAGAUUUAGCUCUAAACUUAGGGUAUAUAACCAAGUGAAUCUAUAUUAUAUAGAGUAAUUGACUAAGAGAGAAUUUGCUUAGAACUGUUGGAAAAAAUCUUGUAGAAAGAAAAAUUCAUCUCAUCUCGUUUACAGAUGUGUUCAUCAACACAAAAGUUUCUUCGAUAUAUAUAAAAUCUCUCAGGUGGAAAAAUGAUCUCCCUUAAAAUUUUAAAAGAACUUUUCUUUUACAAUUUCCUAGUUUUAAUCAGUUUCCUAUUCAAAUAUGAAGAAAAAAAAAUUGAAAAAUAUUGUAGAUUGUAUUCAACCCCGCCCCUUCAACAAUCUACCUAAGGGAAUUGAUUGUAAAUAACAAUUAAUUGAAUCCUAUGUUUCAAUUCUUGUCUAAUUUCACAGGUUUGCCUCAAUUUGAUAAAAGAACUAAAACCUACGGAAAGGUUUGUGAAUUGAGUAAAACUUACAGGAGGUUUUACUUCCAACAUGACCGAAAAAAGCAGCAAUCUCCUUCAUCUGCAUAAGCUUUCCACCUGUGGUACCAAAGCCAAGAGGCUCAAACUGAGCAGCUGCCAGAAUGAAAGACUGGUAAUCCCAGAAUCCAACAGCAUGAGCCACAGGCGUAUUUCUCUUGGAGAAAAGCUCUUCAAACUGAUAAACCUGAAACAAAUCUGAGAUUGUUUGAUUACAACAAUACUUAGACCAUUGCUUACAUUCCCAUCCUUGACUACAAACUCUAUGUCCCUUGACUUUCUUCACCAGGAUCUCUUUGGAAGAAUCCCCAUUCACACCAACACUCAAAACCACCACAACAAACAACAACAAAACCCCCCUUUUCAUUUCAGCUUCCCCUGCAACCCAAACUGAGGUUUUUUUAUUUAUUAUACAAAAUUGGAUACACAAUUAAACAAUUAACAAAUGGAAUUCGUAUCUAGUAAUCAAUGGAGGGCAAGUAUUAUUAUGUACGAUUUUAUAAAGAAAAUUAAGAAGGAUAACUCACAGACUUAGGCUUGGUUGGUAUCCGCUAGAAUUAUAUGAUGCUGCUGCUGCUAUGUUACUUUAGUUUUGGUGUGAUAUUUGUUUCAUGUAGAAUGCAAGUGAUGUCUUGUGUUGGAUCACCUCUCCCAAUCAGACUAGUUGAGAUUCCAAAAUCAACAGGGAAGAUUCACACAUCCCCACCGACACUACCCAUCCGCCCUGUUUAAGCUUAUAAGUUACAUUUCAACUCUUUUACUCAUGGUUGGGAUUUUAUUUAUGCGAGGGACCGGGAGGGAGUAAUAAUUUUAGAUACAGGAUAUAUGUGAAAUUGUGUGUCAUCAAUAUUUUGAGAAAAAUAUUUAUGUAAUAAAUGAAAAAAAUAUCUGUAAUUUAAAAAAUACUUCCUCCGUCUCAAUUUAUAGGUCCAUUUUGGAAAAAAAUUUGUCCCAAAAUACUUGUCCCUCUCUUCUUUCAAUACAAAUCUAUCUACUUAUUAAUUGUGAUUUUUUUGAAACUCAACAUUAUUCUCAUUUCUCAAUACACUAAAUCCCUAUAUUUAUUGUGAUUUUUUUGAAACUCAACUAUAUUCUCAUUUGUCAAUGCACUAAUUAAUGAUACAUGAGAUAAGAUUCUAUCUAACCAACUUUUUUCUUAAUAUGCGUGUUUAUUUCAAAAUGGACCUAUAAAUUGAGACGGAGGGAGUAUUAUAUCACCUAUGUUAUUUUAUUACCAUGAUAUAUAAUUCAUGUAAAUAGACACCUCACAUUAUAAGCAGGCCAGCUAAAGUGCCUUGUCAACUUUUGACGGUCCUCUUCUUUGUGUUCACUGGCGUUUUAUGUUGCGGGUGUUUGGCUAGCUAACUUUUGGGCUUUUUUUACAUAAAAGUUAGCUUCUGCUUAGUUGAGCUUGUUUGGCACAUCAAUAGAAGCACUUAUACUGAGGCUUAAAAGCUGUCAAAAAACAGUGAGGAAAGCUAGUUUUUUUUCUAAAUUACAACUUCUUCUAAUAGAAACACUUAACUUAUAAAUCACAGUAUCCAAACACUUCUAAUAACUUAUAAGUUUAAAUUAACUUUUCACUUAUAGUCCACUUCUUUACUUUAAACAAUAAGUCACUUCUUUUAAGUUCAGCCAAACGGCCCCGUUAUUAACUCCUCAUUUCUAUUUACAGAGACAAACUUAUAUUCAGCAGCAUAGGAACACAUCUCCUGUGGAAAUUUGAAAAUCAAAGAGCAAGUCCAACAAUGUUCUAACAAAUGUCUUAUAAAUAUAAUAAAAUAAUGUGUCCUAAUGAUUUAAGAUAUCAUCUUAAUAUAUCAACUCCAACAACAUGCCUCAUUAUUGUGCCUUAUUAUUAAAAUAUUAAUAUAUUUGAAUUGUUAUUGGAGGGAAAUGAAAAGGAGACCCGAGAGAGGAGAGAGAUGUUGUGGAAUGGCAGGAAACUAUUUUUUUAUUGAAUAGGGCAUGCAUAGUGGUGCCUCAAAAAUAAGGAAUUUGUUACAUGUCCUAGUGUUUUAAGAGCAAGUCCAAGAGUGUCCUAGUUCAAGCCCCAAAUAUAAUAUAAAAUAUCGUGUCCUAGUAAUUUAGGACAUACUUUAGUAAUUUGUACUCCAACCAUGUGCCUUAUUCUCACAAUAUGUCUAAUAUUUUAUUAUUAAAGACUCUCUUUCAUCAUUAAAACAUAAUAUAAAAGUAGAGAGAGAAAGAGAGUGUUGAUGAGAAUUUAUAAUAAAAUAUAGAAUAGGGCAAGGAGAGAUGUGUCCCAAAAAUAAGGCUUGGGGAGGUUGUCCUAGUGAUAUAGGGCAUACUAGGACAUUGUUGGAUCAACUUUUUUCAUCAAUUGCCCUAAAUUAUAACUUGGGACAUGAGAUAGGGUAUCUCUUGGACUUGCUCUAAGGCAUCACUAGGACAUUGUUGGAGCAUUGAUUUGCUUCACAUGCUUUAAAUUUUGAUUUAGGACAUCAAUACAGGGCACUCUUGGACUUGCUCUAAGUACCAUGAUUAAAAUGCGAUAUCUUUAUAUAAUAUAUAAAAUGCAAGCUUGUUUGAUGCUCCCUCCGUCCCAGUCAUUUGUUUACAGUUUCCUUUUUGGAAUGUCCCAUCAUUUCUAUACCAUUUCUAUACAUUCCUAAAAUAAUAAUUUUUAAUAAUAUAAAACACUAUCACACCAACUACAUUCUUUCACUAUCUUCAUUUUAUAAUAAUAUAAACACUAUUAUACCCACUACUUUCCUCCACUAUCACAAAUCUAUAAUUAAAUACAAAUGGGUCCCGCCAUCUUACCCACUUUUCAUCUAACUUUAUUCAUUUUUUACACUUUUUCUUGGUCUCCGUCUCUACACCAAAUGUAUACAAUCUAUUAGCACGGAGGGAGUACCUAUUACAGAGAUUUUUCACUUUUUUUCUUUGCUCCAAGGAAGAGAGGAGGCUUUUACCUCCUGAAAUUCUCUUAAACAAAAAUAAAAAAUAGAAUUUACUCUCAGCCUCAGGACGGCACAUUAUCUACCAAGCAAACUCAUAAAAUCUCCGAGAAUCAUCUGUGUGUCAUCAAUAAAUACCAUAUUUAUGAUUCUGAAUAUAUUUUUUUUGUCACAAUUCUAAAUAUAUUAUUAAGAUCUUAACUUAAUCAACACUGUCUUCAUCUUUGUUGCAGUUCGGUUAUUUUCAAGUAAGGUUCCAAACGGCUAUAUCAGUUCAACACUUCAUAACUUCAUAAAUUACAUUUACAUAAUCAAGCACAUAUACACAAACAACUUCAUUCUUCUGUCGAAAAAAAAAAACUUCAUUCUAAACUAUAAAUUAUACUAACAAUCAAUUAUAUGAAAUUAAACUCAUAUACACGAACUAUAUAAAAUUAAGAUUUUAAAAUGCACAAAUUAAAUAAUCUUAUACAUAUCCUAUAUAUACAUACAAGUGAGAUGUAAUUACAGUAAAGUUCAACCCCCAACUACAAGUGUAAUAUGAUCACCCAAAAUUUUAAAUUUGAAGUUGUAUAUACAUAGAUUGAAAGGUACAAGUUACUCAUAUUUUUAAAUUGAAGUCAUAUAUAUGUAGAUUGAAAGAUGCAAGUUUAAAACAAAAGUAAUAUGGUAGUAAAUACAGAAAAAAGAAUGGAAAAAUAGUUUUUCUGGCAAAUUCCCAGAUUUUAAAAGUCAGGGUUCUAACUAUGCAAUCAAAACUCUUGAAAUACUUGUCAAAAAGUAGAUUAUUAAAAACAAACAAGAGUAUGAUAAUUAAUUGAAUUUGCAACAACGUUAUAUAAUUGCAUACUUACAAAAUAAUACACACAAACUUUUAGUAACAGAGAAUUCAAAAAAUUUAUACAACUGGGAAGAAAUCAUUAUCACAAACUUGAACCAUUGCUCAAACUUAUUGAGAUAUAACUGAACACAAUCUCUGAGCACAUGACUCCUGUUCUGCAGUUCUUGUGAUAAAAUAUAUCUCAAGAGUCAUCUUUACUUUUGGUUGCUGGAUUGAAAGCUUCCUGAUCCGCACACGUGAGUACUUCAUGAGGUCCUGCCUCCUCACGGCCAACACCCAUCAAGUCAAGGUAGUAUUGGUAAUGAGAGACGAUGGUGUUCAUGGCAUCGAUGUCACCUUGACCGCAUACCAUUUCCCCGUAAAGAAUAUUCAUUGUGGCACCGAAACCAGGAGUUCGCUUGGCUAAAGUGUCAUUCUUGGUGGGCUUCCAGUUGCCGACGAAAGCAUCAUGUGAUGAAGGCUGCCCCUUCUUGAUUUCGGUCAUCCACCUCCAGAUUGCUGCCUGGAAUGCAAGGGUAGCAUUCUGUUCAAUGUAUUCUGGAUGGUUCAAUAGAUCCACCUUUAGGGCCUCACCAGCAGCACCAUAGUUAACGUUCCUGAGCAGCAGAGAAGUUAUAAAUAUAAGCAACCAGUACCAAAAGAUGUCAGGAACCCUCAAUUAUUUUUUCUUGACCUAACAAAGUAAUGACUAUAUGAUUGACAAGAUUUAAUCCAUAGCAAAUGAUCUAUGAAUUCAUCAAGGCAUAUAUAACUUCGCAAACCACCACCAAUACAAGGGUCAGAGUUUACUAAAUUUGUUACUGAAUCACUAUUAGAGUUGCAAAUUUAGUUGAGACAAAAGUAGCUAAAUGGGCAACUCAUUCUAUCAAUUAAGUACCAUAUACCAGUAAUAAAUCCAAAUCGGCUCCGCUUAAGAAGUAAGAAUCAGAAGCAGUGACAAAGGAAUAAAAAAAACUUACCAGUAGAUAGGCAGAGCACCACGUCCGUAGUAUUCAGCCCCAGGAGCACAUGGGUAUGUGUACUUGUACGAGUCAUCACAAUAUGUUUGGCUAGGACUCAAUUCUCUGUUGUAGCACAAACCCCAUGCCAAUGGUCCUCCAGUUGCGACUCCAUAACCACCUGCACGUUAAAUCAUCAACGCCAAUCUUGCAACUUGUUUAUAGAUAGAUGAAAAUAACAAAAGAUCAGUAAGAUUUUAGGCAACAAACAUAUUUGAGACUGAAACUCUUAAGGCAAUAUAGAUCGGCCAAAGACAGCAAAUAACAUCAGUAUGAUGAGCAAACUGAUAAAUGGUUUCCACUAGCCAAAAUUGACCAACAGUUUCCAAUUAGGCUUUAAUAAUAGGGGUUUUCUCAUAAAUACCUAAGUUCAAAAUUGUUUUUGUAAAAACACUACUAUCUUUUUUAAAUAAUUUGCAAAAAUACCAAACUUUCGAAAAUAUUUGCAAAAAUAUUGUAUGCAGCCUGUUGCAACCACACGCAACCAUACUUGCAACCAGCUGCAACCAUAUUUGCAACCCCUGCGGGGCCAAUUAACUGAAGUUGCAUAUGGUUGCAGACCAUAUUUUUGCAAAUAUUUUCUAAAAAGUUAAAAUUUGUGCAAUUUUUUCCAAAAGAUAGUAAAAUCGCAAAAAACAAACUUAGAAAAUGUGGUAUUUUUGAUAAAUUCCCUUAAUAUUAGUACAGAGUGGAAUUUUCGAUUCAAUUAAUAUCUAUAUUACUUCUGAACUACAGAGCAAAUCACUCCAAUGCAUAAAUGAACUUUAAAAAACAGCCUUAUAAUACGAAAUGAAUGUGGUUACAUGAUAAAAAAUAAUAUACUACAUAGUUUUCAUAGAAUAACUGAUGAGGUAUUUUAAUCCUAUGUUUCAAUUUUUGUCUAAUUUCACAGGUUUGCCUCAAUUUGAUAAAAGAACUAAAACCUAAGCAAAGGUUUGUGAAUGAGUAAAACUUACAGGAGGUUUUACUUCCAACAUGACCGAAAAACGCAGCAAUUUCCUUCAUCUGCAUAAGCUUUCCACCUGUGGUACCAAAGCCAAGAGGCUCAAACUGAGCAGCUGCCAGAAUGAAAGACUGGUAAUCCCAGAAUCCAACAGCAUGAGCCACAGGCGUAUUUCUCUUGGAGAAAAGCUCUUCAAACUGAUAAACCUGAAACAAAUCUGAGAUAGUUUGAUUACAACAAUACUUAGACCAUUGCUUAC